Molecule: ribosomal RNA, 465 nt
Filed under: Vreelandella stevensii
Lineage: Bacteria; Pseudomonadati; Pseudomonadota; Gammaproteobacteria; Oceanospirillales; Halomonadaceae
Description: partial 16S ribosomal RNA
Rfam family: Bacterial small subunit ribosomal RNA
Source: RNAcentral
CCUACGGGUGGCAGCAGUGGGGAAUAUUGGACAAUGGGGGCAACCCAGAUCCAGCCAUGCCGCGUGUGUGAAGAAGGCCCUCGGGUUGUAAAGCACUUUCAGUGAGGAAGAACGCCUGGUGGUUAAUACCCAUCAGGAAAGACAUCACUCACAGAAGAAGCACCGGCUAACUCCGUGCCAGCAGCCGCGGUAAUACGGAGGGUGCGAGCGUUAAUCGGAAUUACUGGGCGUAAAGCGCGCGUAGGUGGCUUGAUAAGCCGGUUGUGAAAGCCCCGGGCUCAACCUGGGAACGGCAUCCGGAACUGUCAAGCUAGAGUGCAGGAGAGGAAGGUAGAAUUCCCGGUGUAGCGGUGAAAUGCGUAGAGAUCGGGAGGAAUACCAGUGGCGAAGGCGGCCUUCUGGACUGACACUGACACUGAGGUGCGAAAGCGUGGGUAGCAAACAGGAUUAGAUACCCGUGUAGUC